Molecule: ribosomal RNA, 735 nt
Filed under: Phlogicylindrium pawpawense
Lineage: Eukaryota; Fungi; Ascomycota; Sordariomycetes; Amphisphaeriales; Phlogicylindriaceae
Description: partial 28S ribosomal RNA
Rfam family: Eukaryotic large subunit ribosomal RNA
Source: RNAcentral
GCAACAGCUCAAAUUUGAAAUCUGGCCUUUGGUCCGAAUUGUAAUUUGUAGAGGAUGAUUUUGGUGCGGUACUUUCCGAGUUCCCUGGAACGGGACGCCUUAGAGGGUGAGAGCCCCGUACGGUUAGAUGCCUAGCCUCUGUAAAUCUCCUUCGACGAGUCGAGUAGUUUGGGAAUGCUGCUCUAAAUGGGAGGUAAAUUUCUUCUAAAGCUAAAUACUAGCCAGAGACCGAUAGCGCACAAGUAGAGUGAUCGAAAGAUGAAAAGCACUUUGAAAAGAGGGUUAAACAGCACGUGAAAUUGUUGAAAGGGAAGCGCUUAUGACCAGACUUUUUCUAGGUGGAUCAUCCGGUGUUCUCACCGGUGCACUUCAUUUAGUUUAGGCCAGCAUCGGUUUCUAUAGGGAGAUAAAAGCUUCAGGAAUGUGACUCCUCCGGGAGUGUUAUAGUCUGUUGUAUAAUAUCCUUACGGGGACCGAGGUACGCGCUCUGCAAGGAUGCUGGCAUAAUGGUCAUCAGCGACCCGUCUUGAAACACGGACCAAGGAGUCGAACAUUUGUGCGAGUGUUUGGGUGUUAAACCCUCACGCGUAAUGAAAGUGAACGGAGGUGAGAGCCUUUAGGCGCAUCAUCGACCGAUCCUGAUGUCUUCGGAUGGAUUUGAGUAGGAGCAUAACUGUUCGGACCCGAAAGAUGGUGAACUAUGCGUGGAUAGGGUGAAGCCAGAGGAAACUCUGG